AGAGUUUGAUCCUGGCUCAGGAUGAACGCUAGCGGCAGGCUUAACACAUGCAAGUCGAGGGGUAACAGGGGCGCUUGCGUCCGCUGACGACCGGCGCACGGGUGCGUAACGCGUAUGCAAUCUACCUUUUACAGGGGGAUAGCCCAGAGAAAUUUGGAUUAAUACCUCAUAGCAUAUGGUCUUGGCAUCAAGACCAUAUUAAAGAUUUAUCGGUAAAAGAUGAGCAUGCGUUCUAUUAGCUGGAUGGUAAGGUAACGGCUUACCAUGGCGACGAUAGAUAGGGGCCCUGAGAGGGGGAUCCCCCACACUGGUACUGAGACACGGACCAGACUCCUACGGGAGGCAGCAGUGAGGAAUAUUGGACAAUGGGCGGGAGCCUGAUCCAGCCAUGCCGCGUGCAGGAAGACUGCCCUAUGGGUUGUAAACUGCUUUUGUACAGGAAGAAACACUCCCUCGUGAGGGAGCUUGACGGUACUGUAAGAAUAAGGAUCGGCUAACUCCGUGCCAGCAGCCGCGGUAAUACGGAGGAUCCAAGCGUUAUCCGGAAUCAUUGGGUUUAAAGGGUCCGUAGGUGGAUGAUUAAGUCAGAGGUGAAAUCCUGCAGCUCAACUGUAGAAUUGCCUUUGAUACUGGUUGUCUUGAAUUAUUGUGAAGUAGUUAGAAUAUGUGGUGUAGCGGUGAAAUGCAUAGAUAUCACAUAGAAUACCGAUUGCGAAGGCAGAUUACUAACAAUACAUUGACACUGAUGGACGAAAGCGUGGGGAGCGAACAGGAUUAGAUACCCUGGUAGUCCACGCCGUAAACGAUGGAUACUAGCUGUUCGGAUUUAUCUGAGUGGCUAAGCGAAAGUGAUAAGUAUCCCACCUGGGGAGUACGUUCGCAAGAAUGAAACUCAAA
This 897-nucleotide ribosomal RNA is filed under the name uncultured bacterium. Its description in RNAcentral is "bacterial SSU rRNA". It matches the Rfam family "Bacterial small subunit ribosomal RNA", at positions 8 to 905 of the family's 1533-position model. The record is from RNAcentral.